Molecule: transfer RNA, 17 nt
Filed under: Salacia chinensis
Lineage: Eukaryota; Viridiplantae; Streptophyta; Magnoliopsida; Celastrales; Celastraceae
Also listed under: 1 other name
Description: partial tRNA-His
Source: RNAcentral
AUAAAUAAGAAGGAUAA